RNAcentral lists this long non-coding RNA (496 nucleotides) under Vigna radiata. Its description in RNAcentral is "long non-coding RNA (VRAD_LNC000339)". Lineage: Eukaryota; Viridiplantae; Streptophyta; Magnoliopsida; Fabales; Fabaceae. The record is from RNAcentral.
AUGGCAUCCUCACUUGGACCAUCAACAUGGCCUCCUGCAUGGCCCCAUUUUCCACCUGCAAUGGUGGUAACCCCUACACAAAAGGCAUGUGAUUGAGUUGAGCAUAUUAAGAAAAUUAAGUCACAUGUCAUUCAAAAAAUGGUUUGAAUCACAGUCUUGGACCAUACCAAGUCAUGAAGAAUGCAAUAAUUUCUCGCAUCAAGACAGUAUAGAAAGAUGGAAUCCAUUAGGAGGUUAAGAAUAGUAUAGUUAUGUAAACAUAGAUGGUCUUCUAUUUUGAGAAUUUCAGCAUAUUGGUUCACUCAUUUCAUUCUUAAGCAGCAUGAGAUUCCAAGGAAUCUUGUGUGUAUACCUUCAUCACUGAUUUUUCUGAUGGCCAUAUUCAAUGUGUCUGCUAUGUAAAUAUUCCCUCUAUCAUCCACUAUUUGAACCGGUUAUGGGUUGAACCGAUGUAAAGAAAAAGAUGAGAGACGAUUAUUGAACCUGUUAUGGAUUG